Molecule: ribosomal RNA, 1044 nt
Filed under: agricultural soil bacterium SC-I-62
Lineage: Bacteria
Description: bacterial SSU rRNA
Rfam family: Bacterial small subunit ribosomal RNA
Source: RNAcentral
GAGUUUGAUCCUGGCUCAGAAUGAACGUUGGCGGCGUGGAUUAGGCAUGCAAGUCGAGCGAGAACCCGCAAGGGGGACAGCGGCAAACGGGUAGUAACGGGUAGGUGACGUACCCUCGGGUCGGGGAUAGCCACGGGAAACUGUGGGUAAUACCCGAUAACCUCUUCGGACGUGAUGGUCUGGAGAGCAAAGGUGUGAUUCCACCGGAGGAGCGGCCUGCCUCGUAUUAGCUUGUUGGUGAGGUAACGGCUCACCAAGGCGACGAUGCGUAGGGGGUGUGAGAGCAUGACCCCCACCACUGGGACUGAGAUACUGCCCAGACACCUACGGGUGGCUGCAGUCGAGAAUCUUCGGCAAUGGGCGCAAGCCUGACCGAGCGACGCCGCGUGUGGGAUGAAGGCCCUUGGGUUGUAAACCACUGUCAGAGGGGAUGAAGUGCAUGAGGGCAAUCUCUCAUGCUUGACAUAGCCUCAGAGGAAGCACGGGCUAAGUUCGUGCCAGCAGCCGCGGUAAUACGAACUGUGCGAACGUUAUUCGGAUCACUGGGCUUACAGGGUGCGUAGGCGGCUUGUCAAGUAGGGUGUGAAAGCCCCCGGCUUAACCGGGGAAUUGCGCCCUAAACUGGCGAGCUGGAGUGAGAUAGGGGUGUGUGGAACUUCCGGUGGAGCGGUGAAAUGUGUUGAUAUCGGAAGGAACGCCGGUGGCGAAAGCGACACACUGGAUCUUGUCUGACGCUGAGGCACGAAAGCCAGGGGAGCGAACGGGAUUAGAUACCCCGGUAGUCCUGGCUGUAAACGAUGAGCACUAGCUAGGAGGGGCGUAGGCCCUUCCUAACGGAGCNGAAGUGUUAAGUGCUCCGCCUGGGUAGUAUGGUCGCAAGGCUGAAACUCAAAGGAAUUGACGGGGGCUCACACAAGCGGUGGAGCAUGUGGCUCAAUUCGAGGCAACGCGAAGAACCUUAUCCUAGGCUUGACAUGGUCGGAUUAGUUCCGUGAAAGCGGAAUGACGCCUUCGGGUGGAACGAUCACAGGUGCUGCAUGGCUG